GGAUGAACGCUGGCGGCGUGCUUAACACAUGCAAGUCGAACGAGAAGUGGAGACGGAAACCUUCGGGCGGAAGACUUUAUUUCGAGUGGCGGACGGGUGAGUAACGCGUGGGUAACCUGCCUCAUACAGGGGGAUAACAGUUGGAAACGACUGUUAAUACCGCAUAAGACCACAGCACCGCAUGGUGCGGGGGUAAAAACUCCGGUGGUAUGAGAUGGACCCGCGUUCGAUUAGCCAGUUGGCGGGGUAACGGCCCACCAAAGCGACGAUCGAUAGCCGAUCUGAGAGGAUGACCGGCCACAUUGGGACUGAGACACGGCCCAAACUCCUACGGGAGGCAGCAGUGGGGAAUAUUGCACAAUGGGGGAAACCCUGAUGCAGCGACGCCGCGUGAGUGAAGAAGUAUUUCGGUAUGUAAAGCUCUAUCAGCAGGGAAGAAAAUGACGGUACCUGAGUAAGAAGCCCCGGCUAACUACGUG
This 479-nucleotide ribosomal RNA is filed under the name uncultured bacterium. RNAcentral's name for it is "partial 16S ribosomal RNA". It matches the Rfam family "Bacterial small subunit ribosomal RNA", at positions 27 to 507 of the family's 1533-position model. The record is from RNAcentral.